GGGCCGGUAGCUUAGUUCGGCAGAGCGACAGACUCUUAAUCUGUAGGUCGGGGGUUCGAAUCCCUCUCGGCCCG
Molecule: transfer RNA, 74 nt
Filed under: Candidatus Methanolliviera hydrocarbonicum
Lineage: Archaea; Methanobacteriati; Methanobacteriota; Candidatus Methanoliparia; Candidatus Methanoliparales; Candidatus Methanollivieraceae
Description: tRNA-Lys
Rfam family: tRNA
About the family: Transfer RNA (tRNA) molecules are approximately 80 nucleotides in length. Their secondary structure includes four short double-helical elements and three loops (D, anti-codon, and T loops). Further hydrogen bonds mediate the characteristic L-shaped molecular structure. tRNAs have two regions of fundamental functional importance: the anti-codon, which is responsible for specific mRNA codon recognition, and the 3' end, to which the tRNAs corresponding amino acid is attached (by aminoacyl-tRNA synthetases). tRNAs cope with the degeneracy of the genetic code in two manners: having more than one tRNA (with a specific anti-codon) for a particular amino acid; and 'wobble' base-pairing, i.e. permitting non-standard base-pairing at the 3rd anti-codon position.
Source: RNAcentral